This 254-nucleotide ribosomal RNA is filed under the name uncultured bacterium. Its description in RNAcentral is "partial 16S ribosomal RNA". It matches the Rfam family "Bacterial small subunit ribosomal RNA", at positions 524 to 776 of the family's 1533-position model. The record is from RNAcentral.
GACAGGAGGAGCUAGCGUUAUUCAGUAUGAUUGGGUGUAAAGAGUGCGUAGAGUACUUUGUAAGUUUAGUCAGAAAUGCCGUAUUUAUAGUGUGGAAGAGACUAAAAACUUCAAAGUUUGAGUCAAAUAGGUGGUAAGAAAACUUCUGGAGUAGCGCUUAAAUGUGUUGAUACCUGAAAGAAGACCGGCUGGCGAAGGCGCUUACCAAAGUUUGUACUGACCUUGAGGUGACGAAGGCGCGGGGAUCAAACGGG